GACCUAUACAUGCAGUAGAACGCUGAAGAGAGGAGCUUGCUCUUCUUGGAUGAGUUGCGAACGGGUGAGUAACGCGUAGGUAACCUGCCUUGUAGCGGGGGAUAACUAUUGGAAACGAUAGCUAAUACCGCAUAACAAUGGAUGACACAUGUCAUUUAUUUGAAAGGGGCAAUUGCUCCACUACAAGAUGGACCUGCGUUGUAUUAGCUAGUAGGUGAGGUAAUGGCUCACCUAGGCGACGAUACAUAGCCGACCUGAGAGGGUGAUCGGCCACACUGGGACUGAGACACGGCCCAGACUCCUACGGGAGGCAGCAGUAGGGAAUCUUCGGCAAUGGGGGCAACCCUGACCGAGCAACGCCGCGUGAGUGAAGAAGGUUUUCGGAUCGUAAAGCUCUGUUGUAAGUCAAGAACGGGUGUGAGAGUGGAAAGUUCACACUGUGACGGUAGCUUACCAGAAAGGGACGGCUAACUACGUGCCAGCAGCCGCGGUAAUACGUAGGUCCCGAGCGUUGUCCGGAUUUAUUGGGCGUAAAGCGAGCGCAGGCGGUUUGAUAAGUCUGAAGUUAAAGGCUGUGGCUCAACCAUAGUUCGCUUUGGAAACUGUCAAACUUGAGUGCAGAAGGGGAGAGUGGAAUUCCAUGUGUAGCGGUGAAAUGCGUAGAUAUAUGGAGGAACACCGGUGGCGAAAGCGGCUCUCUGGUCUGUAACUGACGCUGAGGCUCGAAAGCGUGGGGAGCGAACAGGAUUAGAUACCCUGGUAGUCCACGCCGUAAACGAUGAGUGCUAGGUGUUGGAUCCUUUCCGGGAUUCAGUGCCGCAGCUAACGCAUUAAGCACUCCGCCUGGGGAGUACGACCGCAAGGUUGAAACUCAAAGGAAUUGACGGGGGCCCGCACAAGCGGUGGAGCAUGUGGUUUAAUUCGAAGCAACGCGAAGAACCUUACCAGGUCUUGACAUCCCGAUGCUAUUUCUAGAGAUAGAAAGUUACUUCGGUACAUCGGUGACAGGUGGUGCAUGGUUGUCGUCAGCUCGUGUCGUGAGAUGUUGGGUUAAGUCCCGCAACGAGCGCAACCCCUAUUGUUAGUUGCCAUCAUUCAGUUGGGCACUCUAGCGAGACUGCCGGUAAUAAACCGGAGGAAGGUGGGGAUGACGUCAAAUCAUCAUGCCCCUUAUGACCUGGGCUACACACGUGCUACAAUGGUUGGUACAACGAGUUGCGAGUCGGUGACGGCGAGCUAAUCUCUUAAAGCCAAUCUCAGUUCGGAUUGUAGGCUGCAACUCGCCUACAUGAAGUCGGAAUCGCUAGUAAUCGCGGAUCAGCACGCCGCGGUGAAUACGUUCCCGGGCCUUGUACACACCGCCCGUCACACCACGAGAGUUUGUAACACCCGAAGUCGGUGAGGUAACCUUUUGGAGCCAGCCGCCUAAGGUGGGG
Molecule: ribosomal RNA, 1436 nt
Filed under: bacterium
Lineage: Bacteria
Description: bacterial SSU rRNA
Rfam family: Bacterial small subunit ribosomal RNA
Source: RNAcentral